UCGUGGGAGGUCAGUUUUGACAUUUGGAUGUAACAAUUGGGGAUUACAAGUUUGAUGGACGACCGACGCUACAGACUAUGGCCUAUGGGAUAUACAAUAACUUGGGGAUGUGGUGUUGCCAAUCCUCGGACUAUUUUAGGCCGACGGGAUUAUUCACGCCAUCAGAUUAGAAAAGGUUGUUCACAUUUCACAACAGGGCCUGGUUUCUGGUUAAUGAAGCGAUUUACCUGUUAGAAAAGAUGGGAUUUCAUUCAUCACCAACGAAAUUAUAGUGGAUAAUGUGCAUUUAUCUCAAUGGCGGCAUCUACCAGGUACCGUGGGGAGCUAAUCUGACAAUUCCAUGUAUUUUCUAUGCCAUAUGCAACAAGGUUCUCUAGGUUUAAUUUGGGUCAAAUUUUUUGGAUACGUGUCGGUAGAAAGGCAAAGUAAUUGGGCUUUUUCCUGAAUGCUGUUUUCCCCCUCUGUAUAUAUGGAUUGAAGAUUCUGAUACAUCAUGUAAACUUGGGAGCUGAGGUUGCAUUUCUUGAUUCUCCUUCCAGGAGUUUGCUCUACCUCUGAUAUCUUCCGCCAUCAAGCAUAAAACUGCCUCACCAAUUUUAGCUUUCCCCUGAAAACUUCUGGCGUUCCUCUCGAGCCAUAUGUGAUGUACAGUACCAGCAGGGCCAGCUUGUACAUAACACUAGCCAAGUUCUUCCCCUUCAUGUUCCUCAGAAUCAAUGCUAACUCUGAGCUCCAAGGAGCGGGAGUCUUGACUAUCCCCUUUAUCCUCAACAAGUUUGCCCAAACCCACGUUGAGUACAUAGAAUGAAAGAAGAGAUGGUCGGUAGUUUCUUUCUUCCAUUCUACUGCAAAGAACUCAAUGGGGAACAACAUUUAUGUUCCAAGUUCGAAUUCUCUCUUUUGUUGCUAGUAUAGCUCUGCAGCAAAGCCAUAGAAUAAAUGCCCAUAUUGGGACAUUACCUUUGAACCACACUAUAUGGUGCCACGGAACCUGCUGACUUGAAAUAAGUUGUUGUCUCAAAUGAAAGUACAAAUUCUGCAGCGCCGUCACUCUAGAGAACAUGGUUAGUAAUAGCCAACUUAAAUUUUCAUAUUCUUGCCCAUGGGAGCUUGGUCACUGAAGAUGAAGAGGAGAACCACUUUCAAGUUUUCACUGUUAUCUUCAGUUCUACAUUUGGGGGGAGUUGUGGAUUCCAGAUACCACAUCUCACAAUAGUAGACACGAUACUGGGCUUGUGACAUAUCUGGUUUAUGCAUAUUUUAAGGUCUAAAUAUCUGAGACACAAAUGUCUGGGAGGUAGGGUUUACCAACUCUAAAAACUGUCCGCUAUUGGAGUAAAUCUAACGGGGGCUGCUUUACCUGUUUUUUUCCUUCCAGGGAGAACAAGUCGAUAAAGUGUUUCUAUCCCUAUCUUUUGUAUUUUUCCUCUUUGGAUGCCACAGAAACAAAGGACUGUUUUAAAGUACUUCCUUGCAUGUAGUUCUCGAUCCUAGUGAUUGUGUGAUGAAAAAUGACAGCCUCGUGGUUAGGGCUGUAUGUGAAG
Long non-coding RNA from Rhododendron vialii, 1544 nucleotides. RefSeq lists it as uncharacterized. NCBI's taxonomy places the organism in Eukaryota, Viridiplantae, Streptophyta, Magnoliopsida, Ericales, Ericaceae. The record is from RefSeq and is a predicted model, not a curated record. The transcript is spliced from 2 exons.